AUUGAACGCUGGCGGCAUGCUUUACACAUGCAAGUCGAACGGCAGCACGGGCUUCGGCCUGGUCGCGAGUGGCGAACGGGUGAGUAAUAUAUCGGAACGUACCCAGCAGUGGGGGAUAACGUAGCGAAAGUUACGCUAAUACCGCAUACGAUCUAUGGAUGAAAGCAGGGGACCGCAAGGCCUUGUGCUCCUUGCGCGGCCGAUAUCUGAUUAGCUAGUUGGUGAGGUAAAGGCUCACCAAGGCGACGAUCAGUAGCUGGUCUGAGAGGACGACCAGCCACACUGGAACUGAGACACGGUCCAGACUCCUACGGGAGGCAGCAGUGGGGAAUUUUGGACAAUGGGCGCAAGCCUGAUCCAGCAAUGCCGCGUGAGUGAAGAAGGCCUUCGGGUUGUAAAGCUCUUUUGUCAGGGAAGAAACGGUAGAGGCUAAUAUCCUUUGCUAAUGACGGUACCUGAAGAAUAAGCACCGGCUAACUACGUG
RNAcentral lists this ribosomal RNA (484 nucleotides) under uncultured bacterium. RNAcentral describes it as "partial 16S ribosomal RNA". It matches the Rfam family "Bacterial small subunit ribosomal RNA", at positions 30 to 507 of the family's 1533-position model. The record is from RNAcentral.